RNAcentral lists this ribosomal RNA (1325 nucleotides) under Pseudokeronopsis rubra. RNAcentral's name for it is "eukaryotic LSU rRNA". The stretch from base 494 to 1325 matches the Rfam family "Eukaryotic large subunit ribosomal RNA", at positions 1 to 840 of the family's 3401-position model. The record is from RNAcentral. Lineage: Eukaryota; Ciliophora; Spirotrichea; Urostylida; Pseudokeronopsidae.
GUCGUAACAAGGUUUCCGUAGGUGAACCUGCGGAAGGAUCAUUCACGCCAAAUGUUACACCUUGGUGUUUCUCCUCGGAGAUUCAUCAAAGACUUCUUAAAAUCCUUUGAGAUCUUCGGAUCAAAAAGGUGACUUGGGAUCUGAUCCCAUUUAAACAAAAUGAAAAUUUUCUACGGUGGAUAUCUUGGUUUCCAUACCGAUGAAGAACGCAGCGAACUGCGAUAAGCAAUGCGAAUUGCAGAACCCGCGAGUCAUUUGGUCUUCGAACGCAGCAUGCACUUAGAGGGAAUUCCUCUGAGUAUGUCUAACUCAGUGUCGCUGAUUAUAACAAAACUAAAUGUCUUUGAAUUGUUUACAAUUCUCAGAUUAAGCAAGAAUGCGAAGCAUUUCAAUCCAACGAAGUAGUCACUAUUUGUUGAUUUAUCGACGAUUGUGAUUUCGUUGUUUAAUUGAAUUGUCUAAGCAUAGAUAAGCUAGUCUUUAAACAUAAUCUAGAUCUGAGUUUAGGCAAGAGUACCCGCCGAACUUAAGCAUAUCAGUAAGCGGAGGAAAAGAAAUUAACUAAGAUUCGGUAAGUAAGGGCGACUGAACACCGAAGAGUCCAAACUGAAAAUCCUUUUCGUAAGAAUAGGAAUUGUAGUCUUAAGCAGUAAAGAGAAUAUGAUCUUGCUAUAAGUCGGUUGAGAACGCCGCGCCAAAGAGGGUGAUAGCCCCGUGAUAGCAGGGUCUAAACAUCUUAACUGUAUAGAGUCGGGUAGCUUGGGACUUCUGCCCUAAUAGGAGAUACACUUCUUCUAAGACUAAAUAUGGAUGGAAAACCGAUAGCGAACAAGUACUGCGAAGGAAAGGUGAAAAGAACUUUGAAAAGGGGGUUAAAAGACUUGAAACCGUUGAAAAGGAAGGUAAUUGAGUUGGCCAAUUAGAGUGGAAUGCCCAUCGGAAAAGGGAUGUCAGUCAAAGGUACCCUAAGGCCCUAGGCGGACUAAACUUAUCGAGUGGUGCUUACCUGCUUUAACAGACAAUAUGGCUUUUAACAACGUAAAACGGCUUGGUGAUUUCCCGGCUUGCCGAAGCUCCAAGUUACUGCGAUGAUAAGAGUGAGGGACUUUUGUGAUAUUGUCUAAACGGCUUAAUUACACCCGUCUUGAAACACGGACCAAGGAGUCAUUCGUUAGUGCGAGUGUGCCAGUGAAAAACUGAUACGCGAAAUGAAAGUAAGUUUAGGAUGCCAAGGCAACAGCAGCAUCAACCGUCGGCGAUCUUUUGUGAGCCGUAUGCGUAAGAGCACUACCGAAUGGACCCGAAAGAUGGUGAACUAUGCGUGA